GAUGAACGCUGGCGGCAUGCCUAAUACAUGCAAGUCGAGCGAACAGACGAGGAGCUUGCUCCUCUGACGUUAGCGGCGGACGGGUGAGUAACACGUGGAUAACCUACCUAUAAGACUGGGAUAACUUCGGGAAACCGGAGCUAAUACCGGAUAAUAUAUUGAACCGCAUGGUUCAAUAGUGAAAGACGGUUUUGCUGACACUUAUAGAUGGAUCCGCGCCGCAUUAGCUAGUUGGUAAGGUAACGGCUUACCAAGGCAACGAUGCGUAGCCGACCUGAGAGGGUGAUCGGCCACACUGGAACUGAGACACGGUCCAGACUCCUACGGGAGGCAGCAGUAGGGAAUCUUCCGCAAUGGGCGAAAGCCUGACGGAGCAACGCCGCGUGAGUGAUGAAGGUCUUCGGAUCGUAAAACUCUGUUAUUAGGGAAGAACAAAUGUGUAAGUAACUAUGCACGUCUUGACGGUACCUAAUCAGAAAGCCACGGCUAACUACGUG
This 497-nucleotide ribosomal RNA is filed under the name uncultured bacterium. RNAcentral's name for it is "partial 16S ribosomal RNA". It matches the Rfam family "Bacterial small subunit ribosomal RNA", at positions 28 to 507 of the family's 1533-position model. The record is from RNAcentral.